CGGGCGCACGGCGGAUGCCUUGGCACAGGGAGCCGAUGAAGGACGCGGCAAGCUGCGAUAAUCCCCGGCGAGGAGCACACAUCCUUCGACCCGGGGGUCUCCGAAUGGGCGAACCCAUCCACAGCAGUGUGGAUAUCCCGACCCCGAACACAUAGGGGCCGGGAGGACAACCCGGGGAACUGAAACAUCUAAGUACCCGGAGGAGAGGAAAUCAAUCUCGAGACUCCCCGAGUAGCGGCGAGCGAAAGGGGACCGAUGGCCAAACCGUCGAGCGGGCAUACCCGGCAGGGGUUCCGCCGACGGGGUUGCAGGGCCGCGCAUCCGGGGGCUGCCGCCCCCGGGCGCAGGUCCGGCUGGGGAGCGGAACGGCAUGGGAGGGCCGGCCGCAGCGGGUGACAGCCCCGUACGCGAACCCAGACCGGACGGCGCGACGCGGUCCCUGAGUAGGGCCGGGCACGUGAAACCCGGUCCGAACCUGGGUGGACCACCAUCCAAGCCUGAGUACUACCCUGUGACCGAUAGCGCACCAGUACCGUGAGGGAAAGGUGAAAAGCACCCCGGGAGGGGAGUGAAACAGUACCUGAAACCGUGCGCCCACGAGCAGUCGGAGCACCCUUGUGGUGUGACGGCGUGCCUUUUGUAGAAUGAGCCAGCGAGUCGCUGGCGCGGGGCGAGGUUAACCGAAAGGGAGCCGGAGCGAAAGCGAGCCUUAACAGGGCGACUUGAGUCCCGCGCCGCGGACGCGAAGCCGGGUGAGCUAUCCGUGGGCAGGCUGAAGCGGGGGUAAGACCCCGUGGAGGGCCGAACGCACGUCGGUUGAAAACGGCGGCGAUGACCUGCGGAUAGGGGUGAAAGGCCAAUCAAACCCGGAGAUAUCUCGUUCUCCCCGAAAUAGCUUUAGGGCUAGCGUCGCGCGUUCACCGCCGGAGGUAGAGCACCGGAUGGACGAGGGGGCUUCGCCGCCUACCGAAUCCAACCGAACUCCGAAUGCCGGCGGCCCAGAGCGCGGCAGUCAGAGCAUGUGGGCUAAGCUGUGUGCUCGAGAGGGAAACAGCCCGGACCGCCCGCUAAGGUCCCCAAGUUCCAGCCGAGUGGCAAAGGAUGUGCGUCCGCCCAGACAACCAGGAUGUUGGCUUAGAAGCAGCCAUCCAUUCAAAGAGUGCGUAACAGCUCACUGGUCGAGUGGACAUGCGCCGACAAUACACGGGGCUAAGCUGGACACCGAAGCGGCGGGAUUUUAAUUCAUUAGAAUCGGUAGGGGAGCUUCCCAUGGGCGGAGAAGCCGGAGGGCGACCGGCGGUGGAGCGCAUGGGAGUGAGAAUGCUGGCAUGAGUAGCGAGAGACGAGAGAGUAACUCGUCCGCCGUGAACCCGAGGUUUCCUGGGCAAGGCUAAUCCUCCCAGGGUCAGUCGGGGGCUAAGGCGAGGCCGGUAGGCGUAGCCGACGCGCAGCAGGCAGACAUUCCUGCACCGCGCACGCGGCGCUACGACCGACGGGGCGACGGAUGGGGGUGGCUCGGCGGGGUUCUGGACGUCCCCGUGAUGGAGCGCGGCCCGCGGACCAGGGAAAUCCGGUCCGCACGAGGGCGAGGCUCCGGACGAAGCGAUCAAGCGAAGCGAGUGAGCCCGAGGUCCCUAGAAAAACCCCUAGGCAGGCGCGUGCGCGCCCGUACCGCAAACCGACACAGGUGGGUGGGUAGAACAUACCGAGGCGAUCGGGUCAACCAUGGUCAAGGAACUCGGCACAAUGGCCCCGUAACUUCGGGAGAAGGGGUGCCCGCGCGUACGUGAACCGGCUUGCCCGGGGAGCGGAGGCGGGCCGCAGUGGAGAGGCCCAAGCGACUGUUUACCAAAAACACAGGACUCUGCAGAAGCCGCAAGGCGACGUAUAGGGUCUGACGCCUGCCCGGUGCCGGAAGGUCACGCGGAGGAGUUAGCUUUCGAGCGAAGCCCCGAAGCCAAGCCCCGGUAAACGGCGGCCGUAACUAUAACGGUCCUAAGGUAGCGAAAUUCCUUGUCGGGUAAGUUCCGACCUGCACGAAAGGCGCAACGACUUGGGCGCUGUCUCGACCAUGGACCCGGUGAAAUUGCACUGGUCGUGAAGAUGCGACUUACCCGCGGAAGGACGGAAAGACCCCGUGAACCUUCACUGCAGCUUGGCAUUGGCCGCUGGUCCCGCGUGUAGAGGAUAGGCAGGAGGCACAGAUCCGGAGGCGCCAGCCCCCGGGGAGCCGCCCUUGGAAUACUGCCCUCGCGCGACCGGCGUCCUAACCCGAGGCCGUCAACCGGCUCGGGGACCGUGCCAGGCGGGCAGUUUGACUGGGGCGGUCGCCUCCUAAAGGGUAACGGAGGCGCGCGAAGGUCCGCUCGGGACGGUCGGCAACCGUCCUUUUGAAUGCAAGAGUACAAGCGGGCUUGACUGCGAGGCCCACAAGCCGAGCAGGUGCGAAAGCAGGCUCUAGUGAUCCGGCGGCCCCGAGUGGGUGGGCCGUCGCUCAACGGAUAAAAGGUACUCCGGGGAUAACAGGCUGAUCUUGCCCAAGAGUCCACAUCGACGGCAAGGUUUGGCACCUCGAUGUCGGCUCAUCGCAUCCUGGGGCUGGAGCAGGUCCCAAGGGUACGGCUGUUCGCCGUUUAAAGCGGUACGCGAGCUGGGUUCAGAACGUCGUGAGACAGUUCGGUCCCUAUCCUCCGUGGGCGCAGGAGAAUCGAUGGAGGCUGCCCCCAGUACGAGAGGACCGGGGUGGACGCACCUCCGGUGAACCGGUUGUCGACCAACGGCACGGCCGGGUAGCCGCGUGCGGCGCGGAUAACCGCUGAAGGCAUCUAAGCGGGAAGCCGUUCCAGGGAUUAGUUCUCCUUCCGGUAAGGGCCCAGGUAGACUACCUGGUCGAUAGACGGCAGGUGCAAGGCUGGCGACAGCCUCAGCCGAGCCGCACUAAUCGCCCGAGCUCUUCCGGA
RNAcentral lists this ribosomal RNA (2960 nucleotides) under human gut metagenome. RNAcentral's name for it is "bacterial LSU rRNA". It matches the Rfam family "Bacterial large subunit ribosomal RNA". The record is from RNAcentral.